AUCCCAAAAAAUCCAAAUUUCUGCCAAAAAAAUCUCCAAAAUAAUCCAAAUUUCCACCAAAAAAAAAUCCAAAAAAAAAAUUAAAAUUUCCACAAUAAAAUCCCCAAAAAAAUCCAAAUUUCCACCCAAAAAAUCCCGAAAUAAUCCAAAUUUUUUUGCUUUCCAGAGGAGCUCAGGACGGCGUUGGGUGAGUCCAGAAUUCCAAAUUCAAAUUUAAUUUAAAAUUUGGUUUUUCAAUUAAUACAUCACCUUAUUAUUUAAAUAUUUAUGUAAAUAAUAAUUAAAUUAUUAUUUUAUUUAAAUAUAUUAUCACAGGUAAUGCAGAUGUAAAUAAUAUUUUAUUUAUCAUUUUUUUGGCCAUAAUAAUUUGAAUUUUUGCCCAAUUUUCCACUGUAAUUUACUCUAUUAUGUCAUUAAAUACAUUAUUUUAUUUAUGUUUUAUUAUUUUAUUUAUUUUAUUAAAUAUGUACUAAAAUAUACAAAUAUUUUAAAGGCGGUAAAGAUGUAAAUAAUAUUUUAUUUCUCUUUUUUUGGGAUAAUAUUUUGAAUUUUUCCCAAUUUUCCACUUUAUUUUACUAUAUUAUGUAUUUAAAUAAAUUAUGUUUUUAAAUUUAUCCUAUUUAAAUAAUAUUUUAUUUCUUUUUUUAGGGAUAAUAUUUUUAAUUUUUCCCAAUUUUCCACUUUAUUUUACUAUAUUAUGUAUUUAAAUAAAUUAUAUUUUUUAAAUUUAUCGUAUUUAAUUAUAUUAUAUAUUUUAAUAAUAUUUUAUUUCUCUUUUUUUGGGAUAAUAAUUUGAAUUUUUACCCAAUUUUCCACAGAACAACGGGACAGAGAGAUCGAACAACGGGACAGAGAGAUCGAACAACGGGACAGAGAGAUCGAACAACGGGACAGAGAGAUCGAACGACGGGACAAACAGAUCGCCGAGAUGAACGCCGAGCUGGGUGAGUCCUUAAUUACAAAAAUAAUUAAUUUUUCUAUUUUUUUAAUUUUAAUUACUUAAUUAAUCCCAAUUAAUUUUCUAUUCCCAGAGGAAUCUCGAUUAAGGAUCUGUGAGUAUCCCGGGCCUUCUUUAAUUCUGUUUUAUUCUGGUUUUUUUCCUUCAUUUUUCUCCUUAAUUUCAUUUUUUUUCCUAUUUU
This is a long non-coding RNA of Taeniopygia guttata (zebra finch), 1139 nucleotides long. NCBI's taxonomy places the organism in Eukaryota, Metazoa, Chordata, Aves, Passeriformes, Estrildidae. The record is from Ensembl.